ACAUGUGGAGCGCUUAGAAGUGAGAAUGCCGGUGUGAGUAGCGAAAGACGGGUGAGAAUCCCGUCCACCGAUUGACUAAGGUUUCCAGAGGAAGGCUCGUCCGCUCUGGGUUAGUCGGGUCCUAAGCUGAGGCCGACAGGCGUAGGCGAUGGAUAACAGGUUGAUAUUCCUGUACCACCUAUAAUCGUUUUAAUCGAUGGGGGGGACGCAGUAGGAUAGGCGAAGCGUGCGAUUGGAUUGCACGUCUAAGCAGUAAGGCUGAGUAUUAGGCAAAUCCGGUACUCGUUAAGGCUGAGCUGUGAUGGGGAGAAGACAUUGUGUCUUCGAGUCGUUGAUUUCACACUGCCGAGAAAAGCCUCUAGAUAGAAAAUAGGUGCCCGUACCGCAAACCGACACAGGUAGUCAAGAUGAGAAUUCUAAGGUGAGCGAGCGAACUCUCGUUAAGGAACUCGGCAAAAUGACCCCGUAACUUCGGGAGAAGGGGUGCUCUUUAGGGUUAACGCCCAGAAGAGCCGCAGUGAAUAGGCCCAAGCGACUGUUUAUCAAAAACACAGGUCUCUGCUAAACCGUAAGGUGAUGUAUAGGGGCUGACGCCUGCCCGGUGCUGGAAGGUUAAGAGGAGUGGUUAGCUUCUGCGAAGCUACGAAUCGAAGCCCCAGUAAACGGCGGCCGUAACUAUAACGGUCCUAAGGUAGCGAAAUUCCUUGUCGGGUAAGUUCCGACCCGCACGAAAGGCGUAACGAUUUGGGCACUGUCUCAACGAGAGACUCGGUGAAAUCAUAGUACCUGUGAAGAUGCAGGUUACCCGCGACAGGACGGAAAGACCCCGUGGAGCUUUACUGUAGCCUGAUAUUGAAAUUCGGCACAGCUUGUACAGGAUAGGUAGGAGCCUUUGAAACGUGAGCGCUAGCUUACGUGGAGGCGCUGGUGGGAUACUACCCUAGCUGUGUUGGCUUUCUAACCCGCACCACUUAUCGUGGUGGGAGACAGUGUCAGGCGGGCAGUUUGACUGGGGCGGUCGCCUCCUAAAAGGUAACGGAGGCGCUCAAAGGUUCCCUCAGAAUGGUUGGAAAUCAUUCAUAGAGUGUAAAGGCAUAAGGGAGCUUGACUGCGAGACCUACAAGUCGAGCAGGGUCGAAAGACGGACUUAGUGAUCCGGUGGUUCCGCAUGGAAGGGCCAUCGCUCAACGGAUAAAAGCUACCCCGGGGAUAACAGGCUUAUCUCCCCCAAGAGUUCACAUCGACGGGGAGGUUUGGCACCUCGAUGUCGGCUCAUCGCAUCCUGGGGCUGUAGUCGGUCCCAAGGGUUGGGCUGUUCGCCCAUUAAAGCGGUACGCGAGCUGGGUUCAGAACGUCGUGAGACAGUUCGGUCCCUAUCCGUCGUGGGCGUAGGAAAUUUGAGAGGAGCUGUCCUUAGUACGAGAGGACCGGGAUGGACAUACCUCUGGUGUACCAGUUGUCGUGCCAACGGCAUAGCUGGGUAGCUAUGUGUGGACGGGAUAAGUGCUGAAAGCAUCUAAGCAUGAAGCCCCCC
This 1534-nucleotide ribosomal RNA is filed under the name Staphylococcus aureus. RNAcentral describes it as "partial 23S ribosomal RNA". It matches the Rfam family "Bacterial large subunit ribosomal RNA", at positions 1269 to 2798 of the family's 2925-position model. The record is from RNAcentral. Lineage: Bacteria; Bacillati; Bacillota; Bacilli; Caryophanales; Staphylococcaceae.